This is a non-coding RNA of Meleagris gallopavo (turkey), 2495 nucleotides long. Lineage: Eukaryota; Metazoa; Chordata; Aves; Galliformes; Phasianidae. The record is from RefSeq and is a predicted model, not a curated record.
GGGGAUUUUGCUGGAGUUCCCUGCCUACUUGAGGCCUGCUGAAGAAAACAAAGUAGAAGGAAAUGAAAUUCCCUGCUGAAAACUUCUGCUAGGAAGAGAUUAUGACACUGAGGGGUGCUGAGUUCAUUUUUAUUAAUCCAUUUCAUUUAAUCUCUGCUUGACCUGCUCUGUCAGCAGCUGUGAUUCUGUUACUUGGAAAAAAAGUCGUACGAGAGGUUAUGAGUGUGAAAAUGUGGAACUUGCCCAAGAAAGGAUUGAAGGAGCUUCGUGGAAGUCAAGAAAUGUUGAAUGCUUUCUCUUUUUGCUGUGUUGAGCCAAGAAGCAAGAGGACUGAUUUCUUUCUGCUCUGUUCUGCACCAAGGAUCAGUAAUUUACAGCAUGGAUGCUGGCAGAGGAAGAGUCAAGAGCAAGGAUCGCAGCUUCUUGAGAUGUGCACCCAAAGCAGCAUUGCUUUGCAGUUCCCAGUAUCCAGGUGUUACAGAUGGAGAAGGGCAGGGGUGUUUCUUCUCUGCAUUCAUGCUAUUAUGGUCAUCUCCCAUUGGGAAUCGUAGAAUCAUUAAGGUUAGGAAAGACCGCUGAGGUCAUCUAGUCUAGCAACUGAAUUGCUGCCACUAGGUUCAGCCUGUCUCCCAGUUAAGAAAAAUACUGUCCUGCAUAUCUCUUGAAAAAUUACCAAAUUGUACCUUGAAAUGCAUGUUGUACUCAGGAGUGAUUAUAUGUGAAAGAUAAACAGAAAUCAGUUUCAUUUUUAGCUAAAGAUAAAUUGACACUUAGAAUUUGCAAAACAUCCUAUUCUCAGAAUUAAAGUAGUCCCUUUGGAGACAUCUCUGUACUCUCUUUUACAGCAAAUUGGCUCUUUUUUAAUUGCCUGAUCUCUUUCUAUCUGUAGUUCAUUCUUCUCUCCACCCACCUCCAUAAUCCCUUUGUUUUCUUCUCUGCACCAUUUCCCAACCAAUUUUUCUUUGAAAACAAGAAAUGAGUUGUAAAUCUCAAAUGACUUGAAGAUUUUCAAAGAACUAGGGGAAAAAACUAUUUCAAAUAUCCCGUCCCUCCCAUUGUCCUGCUAACUCCUCUGUGCCCAAACAGUAGCAGCUCAGAAACUGGCCUCACAGGGUGCUGGUCCCUGCUCUCCUUCUCUGUCCUCAGAAAUCUUGACUUUUUCUUGGCACUCCUCCUGAGAAAGUGUUCAUUUUUUCAUGUAUUUGUAUUCUGUUGGAUGUUAUAGAUUGUACAGAGGAAAAAUUUCCAAAUUAUCAAAACAGGUUGUGAACCAGUGCUAUAAUGUGAAGAGCAAUCACAGAUCAGUGGAUACUCAUGAAAAAUUCUGUUUUUCUCAAAGACAGCUGUCAGAUUAGCUAGUUUUGAUACAGGAAUAAGCAACUAACUUCUUGGCUAUUAUAUGCUGGAAAUCAUGCUAGAGAUACUGGUUAUUGUCCUGUUCAAUGGUGGUAUACAUGAUCGAUUUGUUAAGGUUAGAAAAGACCACAGAGAUCAUCAAGACCAACUGUUUUGCCAUCCCCACCAUGCCCAUUAAUCCACAUCACUCAGUAUCCUGACUUAGACAAUUUAUUCUGUCAUUUUGCUUCCCUAACUUCAUCAAAUAGCAGUAUGUGAGAAUUGGGUGAACUGGUUCACAACAGUAUUAAGCCAGAAAUAGUUUUUUUUUUUUUUUUUCACAACAGCCAAGUCCUGUGUCUCUAUCCAUGGUCAUAGUUGCCUGUAUAGGGAAGGGUGUGGAUGCUCAUGAUUGUGGGGCUGCUUUGUGUCAGACAGCAAGGCAUGGAAUUUCUCCUGCAGAUAUGAGGAGCACCUCUAAUCACAGAGCAAGUCUGAGAAUGACCCAUCUGUUUGCAAAGGGGGAAAUAGCUCCCUAGCUUUUGAGCAGAAGCCCAGCACACUAGAAAGCUGGAUGGUUCAGUAUUCCUGUGAAGUAAUCUGAGGAGUUUUGGGUCGUUGCUGAGACCUUAAGCAUGCAGACAUAAAACUGUAUUCCUGGUGUAAAUUGUGAAAAAGGCCACAACUUUAGCAUAUCAUCCCUUUAGAUGUACAAUUAUGCCUAUUUGCCAUUUUAUGAAGUAUACAAAGGACAGCAAGUGGUACUUCUGCAUAAAAACAAAAAACCUGCUACAUGCUCUAUAUAGCUCUGAUCAGAGGGGGGAAAAUGACUACAGAUUUGUGGUUGACAAGCUUCAGAAAGGGUUCAGCAGAGUGUGAAAAUUGACAUUUAGCAAAUAGCAAUUCAGCCUUCAUUUUUUGUCAAGUUGCUUGGAAUAAACUGCAGGUUUAAAACAAAAUGUUUGGUCACUUGUUACAUUGGAUAUUGCUUGUCUCAUUACUGCAGUUAAUUAAAGGGGGAACGAAAGUCAAAGCUAGAGUCAAUAAGAUUGUUAAUAAAGAUUUAAUUUGGUGGAAUCAUUAUAAAUUGACUGUACAAUGAAUGGAUAUACCAUAGAAGUAUCAGUGUCGGAAGGUCUAUAAAUGCAUUUUCAGAAAUA